This 560-nucleotide long non-coding RNA is filed under the name Androctonus crassicauda. The record is from RNAcentral. Lineage: Eukaryota; Metazoa; Arthropoda; Arachnida; Scorpiones; Buthidae.
UAAUAGACAGAUGAACAUAUGAUUGUUUCAAGGAAGCUCAGGCAGAACUACAGCAAAUUACCACUAGAGAUCUGCAACAGUGGGCAUUAGCAGCAGUGAGCCAAUUCCAAAGUGAAGUGCCAAUUCAAGGCAUCAUCAACUUGGGUAGAGGUAUUUAAACAAAGGCACUGAAUUUGGCAAAGGAAAGUUACAAAAUACACCUCUAGAAAAGAUACUGCAUCACUAGAGGAAACAUUAGAAGCUGCCGAAAAAUUCCGAAAAAUGAUAUGCUUUCACGUUUUGCAAUUUUCUCAGGAUUUUAUAAUUAAUACACACCAGACUGGAUGCCAAUAUCAGUCUGCAUUCGACCACACCCUGAUCACAAUUGGAGAGAAGACAGUAGUUGUUGAGCGAAAAGAUAUAUCAAAAAUAUUUCACACACAUACAGCCCAAUAUGCUAUGACAAUGGCUGGAAAACUGCUAUCUAGUGUUUUCUUGUGCUUUCAGGAACCGGCUGGAAAGUUUGGUCCUGUUGUGCAAUAGAGGGUGAACAAUUUAACACAGAAUUGGCAAUGUUGUUG